This 1495-nucleotide ribosomal RNA is filed under the name Yersinia pseudotuberculosis. RNAcentral describes it as "bacterial SSU rRNA". It matches the Rfam family "Bacterial small subunit ribosomal RNA". The record is from RNAcentral. Lineage: Bacteria; Pseudomonadati; Pseudomonadota; Gammaproteobacteria; Enterobacterales; Yersiniaceae.
AGAGUUUGAUCAUGGCUCAGAUUGAACGCUGGCGGCAGGCCUAACACAUGCAAGUCGAGCGGCAGCGGGAAGUAGUUUACUACUUUGCCGGCGAGCGGCGGACGGGUGAGUAAUGUCUGGGGAUCUGCCUGAUGGAGGGGGAUAACUACUGGAAACGGUGGCUAAUACCGCAUGACCUCGCAAGAGCAAAGUGGGGGACCUUAGGGCCUCACGCCAUCGGAUGAACCCAGAUGGGAUUAGCUAGUAGGUGGGGUAAUGGCUCACCUAGGCGACGAUCCCUAGCUGGUCUGAGAGGAUGACCAGCCACACUGGAACUGAGACACGGUCCAGACUCCUACGGGAGGCAGCAGUGGGGAAUAUUGCACAAUGGGCGCAAGCCUGAUGCAGCCAUGCCGCGUGUGUGAAGAAGGCCUUCGGGUUGUAAAGCACUUUCAGCGAGGAGGAAGGGGUUGAGUUUAAUACGCUCAAUCAUUGACGUUACUCGCAGAAGAAGCACCGGCUAACUCCGUGCCAGCAGCCGCGGUAAUACGGAGGGUGCAAGCGUUAAUCGGAAUUACUGGGCGUAAAGCGCACGCAGGCGGUUUGUUAAGUCAGAUGUGAAAUCCCCGCGCUUAACGUGGGAACUGCAUUUGAAACUGGCAAGCUAGAGUCUUGUAGAGGGGGGUAGAAUUCCAGGUGUAGCGGUGAAAUGCGUAGAGAUCUGGAGGAAUACCGGUGGCGAAGGCGGCCCCCUGGACAAAGACUGACGCUCAGGUGCGAAAGCGUGGGGAGCAAACAGGAUUAGAUACCCUGGUAGUCCACGCUGUAAACGAUGUCGACUUGGAGGUUGUGCCCUUGAGGCGUGGCUUCCGGAGCUAACGCGUUAAGUCGACCGCCUGGGGAGUACGGCCGCAAGGUUAAAACUCAAAUGAAUUGACGGGGGCCCGCACAAGCGGUGGAGCAUGUGGUUUAAUUCGAUGCAACGCGAAGAACCUUACCUACUCUUGACAUCCACNGUGAGACAGGUGCUGCAUGGCUGUCGUCAGCUCGUGUUGUGAAAUGUUGGGUUAAGUCCCGCAACGAGCGCAACCCUUAUCCUUUGUUGCCAGCACGUAAUGGUGGGAACUCAAGGGAGACUGCCGGUGACAAACCGGAGGAAGGUGGGGAUGACGUCAAGUCAUCAUGGCCCUUACGAGUAGGGCUACACACGUGCUACAAUGGCAGAUACAAAGUGAAGCGAACUCGCGAGAGCCAGCGGACCACAUAAAGUCUGUCGUAGUCCGGAUUGGAGUCUGCAACUCGACUCCAUGAAGUCGGAAUCGCUAGUAAUCGUAGAUCAGAAUGCUACGGUGAAUACGUUCCCGGGCCUUGUACACACCGCCCGUCACACCAUGGGAGUGGGUUGCAAAAGAAGUAGGUAGCUUAACCUUCGGGAGGGCGCUUACCACUUUGUGAUUCAUGACUGGGGUGAAGUCGUAACAAGGUAACCGUAGGGGAACCUGCGGUUGGAUCACCU